ACGCGAGCUGGGUUCAGAACGUCGUGAGACAGUUCGGUCCCUAUCCGUCGCAGGCGUAGGAAAUUUGAGAAGACCUGUCCUUAGUACGAGAGGACCGGGAUGGACGUACCUCUGGUGUACCAGUUGUUCUGCCAAGGGCAUGGCUGGGUAGCUAUGUACGGAAUGGAUAAGCGCUGAAAGCAUCUAAGCGCGAAGCCAACUUCAAGAUAAGAUUUCCCACCG
Molecule: ribosomal RNA, 222 nt
Filed under: Clostridioides difficile
Lineage: Bacteria; Bacillati; Bacillota; Clostridia; Peptostreptococcales; Peptostreptococcaceae
Description: partial 23S ribosomal RNA
Rfam family: Bacterial large subunit ribosomal RNA
Source: RNAcentral